This 169-nucleotide small nucleolar RNA is filed under the name Papilio xuthus (Asian swallowtail). RNAcentral describes it as "Small nucleolar RNA U3". It matches the Rfam family "Small nucleolar RNA U3". From Rfam's summary of the family: Small nucleolar RNAs (snoRNAs) are involved in the processing and modification of rRNA in the nucleolus. There are two main classes of snoRNAs: the box C/D class, and the box H/ACA class. U3 snoRNA is a member of the box C/D class. Lineage: Eukaryota; Metazoa; Arthropoda; Insecta; Lepidoptera; Papilionidae. The record is from Rfam by way of RNAcentral.
AAGACCUUACUUUAUAGGAUCAUUUCUCUAGUAAGUUCUUCACGAGAAGUACUAUGGUUUAAACAGAAAAUACCGUACUCUAUAAUAACACCAUAUCUAUGACUUAUAUCGUGCCCGAUAUUUGAAGAAAGCUCGUUUUUUUCAUAUAAACGAGCGAGUGGCCACCUGA